Molecule: long non-coding RNA, 500 nt
Filed under: Sorghum bicolor (sorghum)
Lineage: Eukaryota; Viridiplantae; Streptophyta; Magnoliopsida; Poales; Poaceae
Description: long non-coding RNA (SBIC_LNC000766)
Source: RNAcentral
AGGAAUUUUUAUGAAGACUAGUGCAAGAAGGAUGUCCACGAACGAAGACAUACCUUCCUUUACUAAUAGAUAAAGAAAGAAAGACUCUACCAAAGGUUAUAUGAUUAAGACCAAUGUGAAAAUAUCGAGAAAAACAUGUUCUUGUAGGGCUAGGUUUAAACUAGAAUUUAUAGAAAGAUUAACAGAUUCCCUAGGUGUAGCUAAAAGUUCAUUAUCUUCUUGAUUAAAAGAUAGGACCUCAGCUAUAGAAAAGGGUUGGUUUUGACCUAUUGCAACCAACUCCGGACACAAAUCAUAAUUAGGGUCAAAGAAAGGACUUGUUGACUCCCAUGGUCUAUGGCUAGUCUUUGAAGGUGCAAAAAAUUCAAUAAUAGGUGUGGAAUUUGAGUUAUCCAUAAAGAUGGAAAAAAUAAAAAGAUAAAAGAAUAAAAGUAUAAAAGUAUAAUACAAGAUAAUAGCAAGACUUAAAGUUAUCUCAGCAAACCGUCUUUCUCCCCGGC